Molecule: ribosomal RNA, 274 nt
Filed under: uncultured bacterium
Lineage: Bacteria
Description: partial 16S ribosomal RNA
Rfam family: Bacterial small subunit ribosomal RNA
Source: RNAcentral
AUACGAAGGGGGCUAGCGUUGUUCGGAAUUACUGGGCGUAUAGCGCGCGUAGGCGGAUUGGUCAGUUAGGGGUGAAAUCCCAGGGCUUAACCCUGGAACUGCCUCUAAUACUGCCAGUCUUGAGUUCGGGAGAGGUGAGUGGAAUUCCUAGUGUAGAGGUGAAAUUCGUAGAUAUUAGGAAGAACACCAGUGGCGAAGGCGGCUCACUGGCCCGAUACUGACGCUGAGGCGCGAAAGCGUGGGGGGCAAACAGGAUUAGAAACCCUAGUAGUCC